AUGGAUAGCUUAUUUGCUUUGUUGUAUAUACUUUGUAGUUUCAAUGACGAGACAUACAUGUCAACUAUGGGUGUUGGCUCGAACAACUCUCAUUGGUCUCAAACCAAUGAUGCACAUUUUGAUGAUCAUGAGUUUGAGGUGGACGAGGAUGGUGAGGGUUUCUUCAAUGCACUGAAAGAAAGAGGGGGUAACUACACCAUGGAUGAAGACAUCUUGCUAUGCAAUACAUGGUUGCAAGCAUCGAGCGAUCCCACCAUUGGAGGGAAUCAAAGUAGAGAUGCAUAUUGGAACCGGAUUAAGGACCACUUUGAUCUACACAACAAAAGUGGAAUUGACCGCUCGGGAAGAUUGCUUCGCUCCCGGUGGUGA
RNAcentral lists this ribosomal RNA (369 nucleotides) under Triticum aestivum (bread wheat). RNAcentral describes it as "partial small subunit ribosomal RNA". The record is from RNAcentral. Lineage: Eukaryota; Viridiplantae; Streptophyta; Magnoliopsida; Poales; Poaceae.